UCAGAAGGCUGGAUGACCGCGUUUCGUGCGAGGAAAGUCCGGGCUUCAGAGAAAAAUGGUGCCGGGUAAUACCCGGGCGGUGCAAGCCGAUGGAAAGUGCAACAGAGAGUAGACCGCCGAUGACCUGCUUAGGCAGGCAUAGGUAAGGCUGAAAGGGUGCGGUAAGAGCGCACCGCGUUAUCUGGCAACAGAUGCGGCUAGGUAAACCCCGCCAGAAGCAAGAUCAAAUAGGCGCUGCACAUGGUGUUUUUCUCCACCGCGGCGCGGGUAGAUUGCUAGAGGUGUAUGGUAACAUGCAUCCCAGAUGAAUGGUCAUCCAGUNUCAUGNGAAUGAUAUGGACAGAACCCGGCUUAUAGGCCUUCUGACUUC
RNAcentral lists this RNase P RNA (370 nucleotides) under Micavibrio sp. RNAcentral's name for it is "RNase P RNA component class A". It matches the Rfam family "Bacterial RNase P class A". Rfam says of the family: Ribonuclease P (RNase P) is a ubiquitous endoribonuclease, found in archaea, bacteria and eukarya as well as chloroplasts and mitochondria. Its best characterised activity is the generation of mature 5'-ends of tRNAs by cleaving the 5'-leader elements of precursor-tRNAs. Cellular RNase Ps are ribonucleoproteins. Lineage: Bacteria; Pseudomonadati; Bdellovibrionota; Bdellovibrionia; Bdellovibrionales; Pseudobdellovibrionaceae. The record is from RNAcentral.